RNAcentral lists this ribosomal RNA (412 nucleotides) under Pseudoxanthomonas sp. RNAcentral describes it as "bacterial SSU rRNA". It matches the Rfam family "Bacterial small subunit ribosomal RNA", at positions 1 to 409 of the family's 1533-position model. Lineage: Bacteria; Pseudomonadati; Pseudomonadota; Gammaproteobacteria; Lysobacterales; Lysobacteraceae. The record is from RNAcentral.
UAAGUGAAGAGUUUGAUCCUGGCUCAGAGUGAACGCUGGCGGUAGGCCUAACACAUGCAAGUCGAACGGCAGCACAGGAGAGCUUGCUCUCUGGGUGGCGAGUGGCGGACGGGUGAGGAAUACAUCGGAAUCUACUCUGUCGUGGGGGAUAACGUAGGGAAACUUACGCUAAUACCGCAUACGACCUACGGGUGAAAGUGGGGGACCGCAAGGCCUCACGCGAUUGAAUGAGCCGAUGUCGGAUUAGCUAGUUGGCGGGGUAAAGGCCCACCAAGGCGACGAUCCGUAGCUGGUCUGAGAGGAUGAUCAGCCACACUGGAACUGAGACACGGUCCAGACUCCUACGGGAGGCAGCAGUGGGGAAUAUUGGACAAUGGGCGCAAGCCUGAUCCAGCCAUACCGCGUGGGUGAA